AACCCUAGCCACUUCUCCUUCCACCUCUCCUCCCGCCGCCAUCCGUAUCUCCUGCACUUGGUAAGGAACCCUAGCCCCUAAUUGCUUGAUUGAAUCUCUCGUUCUAUUCUGCGGGAUGGUGGCGCCGUCUCCAGCACUCGAAUCCGAUCGUUCCGUUCUCCCCAAUGGUUCCAAUUCGCUGUGGGCAGCAGAUUUGAUUGCUUGCUUGCUUGGUGGCGGAGCGCGAGUAGCAGUUCAUGCAGCAAAAGAAGUUAAUUGCAAGAACAGUCCUAUAGAUAGAGUAGCGAGUCCAUUCAGAAUUUUCACUAGCUUAGUUAUUCUGUAAACAUCUGUUCGAUCAUUUAUACCUGGAUUCACUUUAAAUAUUCUGCUUGAUCUUGACUGUUACAAGUCUAGUUGCAUGCAGGUGAAUCCUAAUUUAAAUCUGAAGGUGAAUCAAAAUUUAAAUCUGAAGGUGAAUCCUCAAUCGUGUUCUAUAGUGAUAAUUUUACUCUACAAGCCGCUUCUUAAUCAACAGACCAUUUUUUUGCACUAUAGAAACUAGGUGAUAAUAUUUUUAUUCAUUUCAUUGAUCGGUGGCUAGAUAAAUUCAGAUCGAGCUCCUCGCCACCAUGUAGGGAAACAGCAGCUUACCAUGUAGGGAAACAGUUACAUAUCCUAUAAUAACCUGCAAGAUGAUCUUAUGAACGACUUGCAGAUAAUCAUGCAUCAGCUGUGCUCAUAUUAUUCUGCCACCAUUUUGUCAUUUUGGUUUCAUGUGGCAUAAUCAAUUAAUUUAUGGAGAAAAUGCAGAGUCUGACAGUCUACUCAGUUGCAGCAAACAGAAUCUGGAGAGCAUAUUAUGUCUGGAGGAGGCCUUAAAUUGAAGGACUUCCAAAUUUAAGCUGGGUGGCAAACGGUUUUUCUUCAUAUUCCCCAUCAAAGGAUCAGAAAAAAGGGUCUUGUAAGUGUUGAGGUCAAGAAGAAAAAGGGACAGUGAACAGAUGAGUGGUUUGCACAAUGAAAAGGAGCCAUCAUUGCAGUAUGGCAUGAAGGUACUAGCUGUUGAUAUACCAAUGGAAUCAGGGCCUGACCAACGGCUAUUCCUUGUCGGUGACGAACAAGAAUACAAGGUGAGUGGAGCCUUGAUAUCAAGCCUAUCAGAGGAUAGUAUGAGGUGUUGGCGUGGCUAUGAGGAGGACUCGAGUUCUUUGCUGCUCUCAGUGUGCCCGUCGCUGUGAAUGACAAGGCCUCCAAGAUCCCAUUUACAAAAAGGCAUGGCCCUGCUUUUGUGUCACAUCAGUCCAAGAUCUCUGAUGGAUAAUUUCAGUAGUCGAGGUAUAGGAAUACAAAGAGUUGGCAGAGUGUUCCCAUUAUGCAGUUCCAAUUCAAGUCAUGCUUAGACAGACUGAUCGGCUGUUGCUGCUGGCUAGGUUUGUUAACAAAGAUAUUGUUCACAAAGAAGAGUGUGUUCUGCCUAGUGGAAUCGAUGAUCUUGCAGCGCUACCAUUCUUUCUGUAGAAAAUAUGAUCAAAUGUGUUUAUUAGCUGCUCCGUCGACUACUCAGGUCGAGCCCGCUUCUUCCGACGACUCUUCAGACGACGACGACCCCGAUUGCUUCAUCACCGCACCCAGGACGGAUGCCCCGCCUUCUCCAGCCUAUCUAGGACUAGAUUUUUAGCUCUAGCCUUCCCUUUUGGUGCUUUGUUGCCAAAGAGGGAGAUAGAUAGGGGGAGCAGGUUGGUCUGUGGCGUGACUUGGACUCUUCAUGGUUUUUGUUGUAUAUCGGUUGGAUCUUGUGUUUCCUCUUGUGUUGACAUGUCCCUACAAGUGGCUUUCCUUUCAAUAAUGCAUGCUUGUUCAGUUCGUUGUUCA
Long non-coding RNA from Panicum virgatum (switchgrass), 1854 nucleotides. RefSeq lists it as uncharacterized. NCBI's taxonomy places the organism in Eukaryota, Viridiplantae, Streptophyta, Magnoliopsida, Poales, Poaceae. The transcript is spliced from 5 exons. The record is from RefSeq and is a predicted model, not a curated record.